AGGGCAUCGGUGGACCUCCUUACAAAGGCUGAUGAGGGUGUGCGGUGUGCCCAACAAAUUGUCUGAUGAAAAAAACGAGGAGAAAUACCUUAUUAGGCUUGUAGCUGAGGUGGUUAGAGCGCACCCCUGAUGAGGGUGAGGUCGGGGGUGGAAGUCCACUCAUGCCUACCAAAUUCUUUCCCCUGCGGCGCUGUGCUUUCCGGCGAAUACGAGGGUAUCCAAGUCCCUUGAUCGCCUCAUGCUGAAAAAAAAUUGAAAAAUCUAUUACCAAAUAUCAGGGAGAAGAAAAUUUCCCCUCGGGGGGCUAUUGAUCUGCCGAUAAAACGCCUGAUUAGCCGCAAACAUGUUUGUUGUUGUAUUCUACCCUCCUCCUUUGUGUAACUCUUAUUUUGUUUUUUGUGCGUAUCUUUCUUUCCCUUUAUUAUCCUCCUCCUUUUAAUUCUUUUUUACUUCUCUUUCUUUCUUCCCUUUUCCCUCUCCCCCCCUUUUUCCGUCCCUUUCAUUUUUUUCCUCUCUUUCCCUUUUUUCUUUCUCUCUUUUCUCCUUUUCCCCCUUUUUCCCUUUUCCUACUACUUCACCCUAUAAUUUUUAAAACUUUACCC
RNAcentral lists this transfer RNA (602 nucleotides) under Brenneria goodwinii. RNAcentral describes it as "partial may contain 16S ribosomal RNA, 16S-23S ribosomal RNA intergenic spacer, and 23S ribosomal RNA". The stretch from base 95 to 168 matches the Rfam family "tRNA". Lineage: Bacteria; Pseudomonadati; Pseudomonadota; Gammaproteobacteria; Enterobacterales; Pectobacteriaceae. The record is from RNAcentral.